RNAcentral lists this ribosomal RNA (498 nucleotides) under uncultured bacterium. Its description in RNAcentral is "bacterial SSU rRNA". It matches the Rfam family "Bacterial small subunit ribosomal RNA", at positions 30 to 523 of the family's 1533-position model. The record is from RNAcentral. RNAcentral also lists the same sequence under 1 other name.
AUUGAACGCUGGCGGCAUGCCUUACACAUGCAAGUCGAACGGUAACAGGUCUUCGGAUGCUGACGAGUGGCGAACGGGUGAGUAAUACAUCGGAACGUGCCCGAUCGUGGGGGAUAACGAGGCGAAAGCUUUGCUAAUACCGCAUACGAUCUACGGAUGAAAGCGGGGGAUCUUCGGACCUCGCGCGGACGGAGCGGCCGAUGGCAGAUUAGGUAGUUGGUGGGAUAAAAGCUUACCAAGCCGACGAUCUGUAGCUGGUCUGAGAGGAUGAUCAGCCACACUGGGACUGAGACACGGCCCAGACUCCUACGGGAGGCAGCAGUGGGGAAUUUUGGACAAUGGGCGAAAGCCUGAUCCAGCCAUGCCGCGUGCAGGAUGAAGGCCUUCGGGUUGUAAACUGCUUUUGUACGGAACGAAAAGCCUCUUUCUAAUAAAGAGGGGUCAUGACGGUACCGUAAGAAUAAGCACCGGCUAACUACGUGCCAGCCGCCGCGGUAA